GACGAACGCUGGCGGCGUGCUUAAUACAUGCAAGUCGAACGGAAAGGCCCUGCUCUUGUGGGGUGCUCGAUUGGCGAACGGGUGAGUAACACGUGAGUAACCUGCCCUUGACUUUGGGAUAACUUUAGGAAACUGGGGCUAAUAUCGGAUAGAAUCUCCUGCUGCGUGGGGGGGGUUGGAAAGUUUCGGUUGUGUGGGAUGGUCUCGCGGCUUACGAGCUUGUUGGGGGGGUAGGGGCUUACCAAGGCUUUGACGGAUAGCCGGCCUGGGAGGGUGGCCGGCCUCCAUGCGCCUGCGAUACGCCCCAGACUCCAACGGGCGGCAGAAGUGGGGAGUCUUACACAAUGGGCGGAAGCCUGAUGCAGCGGCCCCGCGUGCGUAAUGCCGUCCUUCGAGUUGUAAACAGCUUUCGACUGUGACGAGGAGUGCGUGACGGUACUGGGUCAGAAAGCACCGGCUAACUACGUG
RNAcentral lists this ribosomal RNA (468 nucleotides) under uncultured bacterium. RNAcentral's name for it is "partial 16S ribosomal RNA". It matches the Rfam family "Bacterial small subunit ribosomal RNA", at positions 28 to 507 of the family's 1533-position model. The record is from RNAcentral.